Oncorhynchus keta (chum salmon) is the source of this 976-nucleotide long non-coding RNA. RefSeq lists it as uncharacterized. The transcript is spliced from 3 exons. The record is from RefSeq and is a predicted model, not a curated record. NCBI's taxonomy places the organism in Eukaryota, Metazoa, Chordata, Actinopteri, Salmoniformes, Salmonidae.
UAAACGGGCUUUGUUUCUCAGGGAGCUGUCAGUACCGACACAGAAACAGACACAGGUGUAAACGGGCUUUGUUUCUCAGGGAGCUGUCAGUACCGACACAGAAACAGACACAGGUGUAAACGGGCUUUGUUUCUCAGGGAGCUGUCAGUACCGACACAGAAACAGGUGUAAACGGGCUUUGUUUCUCAGGGAGCUGUCAGUACCGACACAGAAACAGACACAGGUGUAAACGGGCUUUGUUUCUCAGGGAGCUGUCAGUACCGACACAGAAACAGACACAGGUGUAAACGGGCUUUGUUUCUCAGGGAGCUGUCAGUACCGACACAGAAACAGACACAGGUGUAAACGGGCUUUGUUUCUCAGGGAGCUGUCAGUACCAACACAGAAACAGGUGUAAACGGGCUUUGUUUCUCAGGGAGCUGUCAGUACCGACACAGAAACAGGUGUAAACGGGCUUUGUUUCUCAGGGAGCUGUCAGUACCGACACAGAAACAGACACAGGUGUAAACGGGCUUUGUUUCUCAGGGAGCUGUCAGUACCGACACAGAAACAGACACAGGUGUAAACGGGCUUUGUUUCUCAGGGAGCUGUCAGUACCGACACAGAAACAGGUGUAAACGGGCUUUGUUUCUCAGGGAGCUGUCAGUACCGACACAGAAACAGGUGUAAACGGGCUUUGUUUCUCAGGGAGCUGUCAGUACCAACACAGAAACAGGUGUAAACGGGCUUUGUUUCUCAGGGAGCUGUCAGUACCGACACAGAAACAGGUGUAAACGGGCUUUGUUUCUCAGGGAGCUGUCAGUACCGACACAGAAACAGGUGUAAACGGGCUUUGUUUCUCAGGGAGCUGUCAGUACCGACACAGAAACAGGUGUAAACGGGCUUUGUUUCUCAGGGAGCUGUCAGUACCAACACAGAAACAGGUGUAAACGGGCUUUGUUUCUCAGGGAGCUGUCAGUACCGACACAGAAACAGA